Molecule: transfer RNA, 72 nt
Filed under: Ictidomys tridecemlineatus (thirteen-lined ground squirrel)
Lineage: Eukaryota; Metazoa; Chordata; Mammalia; Rodentia; Sciuridae
Description: Spermophilus tridecemlineatus (thirteen-lined ground squirrel) tRNA
Rfam family: tRNA
About the family: Transfer RNA (tRNA) molecules are approximately 80 nucleotides in length. Their secondary structure includes four short double-helical elements and three loops (D, anti-codon, and T loops).
Source: Rfam by way of RNAcentral
GGGGUUGUAGCUCAGUGGUAGAAUGCUUGCCUCACAUGCAUGAGGCCCUGGGUUCAGUCCCCAGUACCACCU